This 492-nucleotide ribosomal RNA is filed under the name uncultured bacterium. RNAcentral describes it as "partial 16S ribosomal RNA". It matches the Rfam family "Bacterial small subunit ribosomal RNA", at positions 29 to 507 of the family's 1533-position model. The record is from RNAcentral.
AGUGAACGCUGGCGGUAGGCCUAACACAUGCAAGUCGAACGGCAGCACAGUAAGAGCUUGCUCUUACGGGUGGCGAGUGGCGGACGGGUGAGGAAUACAUCGGAAUCUACUUUUUCGUGGGGGAUAACGUAGGGAAACUUACGCUAAUACCGCAUACGACCUACGGGUGAAAGCAGGGGAUCUUCGGACCUUGCGCGAUUGAAUGAGCCGAUGUCGGAUUAGCGAGUUGGCGGGGUAAAGGCCCACCAAGGCGACGAUCCGUAGCUGGUCUGAGAGGAUGAUCAGCCACACUGGAACUGAGACACGGUCCAGACUCCUACGGGAGGCAGCAGUGGGGAAUAUUGGACGAUGGGCGCAAGCCUGAUCCAGCCAUACCGCGUGGGUGAAGAAGGCCUUCGGGUUGUAAAGCCCUUUUGUUGGGAAAGAAAAGCAGCAGGUUAAUACCCCGCUGUUCUGACGGUACCCAAAGAAUAAGCACCGGCUAACUUCGUG